Molecule: long non-coding RNA, 1318 nt
Filed under: Cottoperca gobio
Lineage: Eukaryota; Metazoa; Chordata; Actinopteri; Perciformes; Bovichtidae
Description: lncRNA (ENSCGOG00000023080.1)
Source: RNAcentral
AAAGAAGAAGAUUUUGAGAUACUAAUACAUUAUUUCUUGAAUGUUUGUCAUUAUUUUCAGAUACUAGCUCAUUAUUUCGAAAACGUUUUUGAUUAUAAUAACUUACAGGAGUAGUUUCCCCCCCCCCCCCGCUCACAUAGACGUAAGUGAGUUUCUAUAUAGGUGUCCACUCACUGUUCGUGGUACAUGAUAUAUUUUGUAUUGUUUCAUUUCAAGUGUUGAUUUUUGUUACUUUACUUUUUCACAGGUAGAAUAUUCCCAGUGCUCCAACAUUGGAAGGUAUAGUCUUUGAGCACAAAUGGGUUAAUGAAUAUCCACUCAUAUGAGUAAACUGUUUUAAUUCAACGUAGGAAUAAAGAAAAAAUGCAGCAAAAUCGGUGCAGUUUUAGCUCAAAUCAAACAGAUACAAAGACACUUGGAUUGCGGGCAGUAGGAGGGAACCAUCUCGCUCUACUUCAACACUCUUUGUAAAAACACACCUACGUCAUUACGUGUUUGAACGUGGCGGCGCGGUCCCUAGCAGCAGCUCAGCCCACCUAAAGUUUUCACUUCGCUCUCUGGCUAAAGUAAAGACAUGGGAACGAAACAAAUCAUUACAGUUACACGCAGGUAUUUAAUGACACUCAAUGUCUCACUAAGUUUGGUGUGCAAACGGAUCAAAUACGGCUUUCAUCGCGAUAUCUCACGACUGCGAUGACGUGCAAACUAAGUGGCCUGUUCAGCAUUGGAGAGGACUUUGAUGAUGAGGUGAAGACACACACACACACACACACACUCACACUCACACUCACACACACACACACACACAAACACACCUGAUUUUACUUAACUGUCAGGGAAGAUAGUGGUGGAAGAAGUAUUCAGAUCCUUUACUAAGUAAACAGUACUAUGUUACUUCAGUAAAAUCGUCUAAGUAUAAUCAGGAACAUGUACUUGGAGUAUUAAAAGUAUAAGUACAUAGUGUUAGUCAGUCAACUCAUUCAUUAAUCGACUAGUCAUUUCAGCUACUAUCAUAUAUAUAAACUCUUCUUGUGUUUUGUGUGUAAUUUGUAAAGUAACCAAGGCUGUCAGAUGCAUGUAAACCUGGGUCACAGGGAGGCUUUCAGUCAACUCAGCACUUUUACAAUCACUAAGAUUUGUCUUCUUUUCUGUAUUUAGAUAUUUCUUACUCUGCCUGUUUUUAUUAUUUUAUUUAAAGAUCACUCCUCACCUAUUACUUUAUUUAAUGACCUAAUAACUCCAAUGUUACAUGUGCAACUGUAAGAAAGUAUGACAAUGAGUGUUGAAUGCACAAGUGAAAUAUAAACACUCAAUAAAA